This 244-nucleotide ribosomal RNA is filed under the name uncultured bacterium. RNAcentral describes it as "partial 16S ribosomal RNA". It matches the Rfam family "Bacterial small subunit ribosomal RNA", at positions 526 to 769 of the family's 1533-position model. The record is from RNAcentral.
CGAGGUAGGCGAGCGUUGUUCGGAAUUAUUGGGCGUAAAGGGCGCGUAGGCGGUUCUGCAAGCCCGGCGUGAAAAUCUGGAGCUUAACUCCGGAACUGCGUUGGGAACUGCGGGACUAGAGUCAUAGAAGGGGAGUUGGAAUUCCAGGUGUAGGGGUGAAAUCUGUAGAUAUCUGGAAGAACACCGGUGGCGAAGGCGAACUCCUGGCUGAUGACUGACGCUGAGGCGCGAAAGUGCGGGGAGC